GGCAGCUUCGCUCCCGGAUGUUAGCGGCGGACGGGUGAGUAACACGUGGGUAACCUGCCUGUAAGACUGGGAUAACUCCGGGAAACCGGAGCUAAUACCGGAUAGUUCCUUGAACCGCAUGGUUCAAGGAUGAAAGACGGUUUCGGCUGUCACUUACAGAUGGACCCGCGGCGCAUUAGCUAGUUGGUGGGGUAAUGGCUCACCAAGGCGACGAUGCGUAGCCGACCUGAGAGGGUGAUCGGCCACACUGGGACUGAGACACGGCCCAGACUCCUACGGGAGGCAGCAGUAGGGAAUCUUCCGCAAUGGACGAAAGUCUGACGGAGCAACGCCGCGUGAGUGAUGAAGGUUUUCGGAUCGUAAAGCUCUGUUGUUAGGGAAGAACAAGUGCGAGAGUAACUGCUCGCACCUUGACGGUACCUAACCAGAAAGCCACGGCUAACUACGUGCCAGCAGCCGCGGUAAUACGUAGGUGGCAAGCGUUGUCCGGAAUUAUUGGGCGUAAAGGGCUCGCAGGCGGUUUCUUAAGUCUGAUGUGAAAGCCCCCGGCUCAACCGGGGAGGGUCAUUGGAAACUGGGAAACUUGAGUGCAGAAGAGGAGAGUGGAAUUCCACGUGUAGCGGUGAAAUGCGUAGAGAUGUGGAGGAACACCAGUGGCGAAGGCGACUCUCUGGUCUGUAACUGACGCUGAGGAGCGAAAGC
This 702-nucleotide ribosomal RNA is filed under the name Bacillus sp. (in: firmicutes). Its description in RNAcentral is "bacterial SSU rRNA". It matches the Rfam family "Bacterial small subunit ribosomal RNA", at positions 73 to 760 of the family's 1533-position model. Lineage: Bacteria; Bacillati; Bacillota; Bacilli; Caryophanales; Bacillaceae. The record is from RNAcentral.